RNAcentral lists this unclassified non-coding RNA (274 nucleotides) under Ascomycota sp. RNAcentral's name for it is "partial contains small subunit ribosomal RNA, internal transcribed spacer 1, and 5.8S ribosomal RNA". The stretch from base 1 to 47 matches the Rfam family "Eukaryotic small subunit ribosomal RNA", at positions 1785 to 1831 of the family's 1831-position model. Lineage: Eukaryota; Fungi; Ascomycota. The record is from RNAcentral.
AAAGUCGUAACAAGGUUUCCGUAGGUGAACCUGCGGAAGGAUCAUUAAAUUCAGUAGUUUACUACUGUUUUGAGGGAAGCGGAAACUCGCUCGGCUGCUUCGGUAUGCCUGGCUGAGGAGUACGCCCCCUCUUUACACCCUUGUCUUUUUGCGUACUCAUGUUUCCUCGGCGGGCUUGCCCGCCGGUUGGACAAAUAAUAACCUUUUUAAUCUUCAAUCAGCGUCUGAAUAAUUAUAAUAAUUACAACUUUCAACAACGGAUCUCUUGGUUCUG